GGUGAGAUGGCUCAGCGGGUAAGAGCACCAGACUGCUCCUCUGAAGGUCCUGAGUUCAAAUCCCAGCAACCA
RNAcentral lists this transfer RNA (72 nucleotides) under Mus musculus (house mouse). It matches the Rfam family "tRNA". Rfam says of the family: Transfer RNA (tRNA) molecules are approximately 80 nucleotides in length. Lineage: Eukaryota; Metazoa; Chordata; Mammalia; Rodentia; Muridae. The record is from Rfam by way of RNAcentral.